Molecule: ribosomal RNA, 207 nt
Filed under: uncultured bacterium
Lineage: Bacteria
Description: partial 16S ribosomal RNA
Rfam family: Bacterial small subunit ribosomal RNA
Source: RNAcentral
UGCGUAGGUGGUGGGGUAAGUCGGAUGUGAAAUCUCGGAGCUCAACUCCGAAAUGGCAUUGGAAACUACCCUGCUGGAGGUUUGGAGGGGGGACUGGAAUUCUCGGUGUAGCAGUGAAAUGCGUAGAUAUCGAGAGGAACACCAGUGGCGAAGGCGAGUCCCUGGACAAAACCUGACACUGAGGCACGAAAGCUAGGGGAGCAAACA